UCUUCAACGCACCGGCAACUUGAUGUGUCGGCCUGUCCUUGACAUUUUGAUAGACUGGGACGUCAAGUUGUUCGUAGGGUCAGGAGCCCUAUUACGAAAAUCGAAAUACGAAGUUUCGGUUGACGGAUCGUACAUUUUUCUAUUACGAAAGUGCUUCGAAUCCGAAGAUCGAAACGAAGUUCGAGAUUAGACAUUUUGUCUUUCGUUUACCUUAUUCCCAAAUUCACUCGACACUUACGUUUUCGUUGUUUGACAUUUUUAUGGUCGUAACAACAACGUCACUUUUAACGACAGACUUAUAUGUUUCGUUUUAGAUAAAACAUAUUUAUUUUAUUAUAAAAUGGCACGUUUUCAAUGAACGAAGAGGUCUUCUUGUACGAAGAAAACCUUGAAAGAGCAAGAGAGCGACGUCGACUCCGGCAAUAUUUAUUAAAUAAACAAAUUCCCGAUGGUUGAUUCCCUAAUUUGUUAUGAAUUAUCGCCAUAAUCAUACUUUAUUUGAAAAACUUUGUGAAGAGAUUAUAGUAAUAAAGCCACUAUAAAAAUACGAGAGGGAUUGAUCCCUCUAUCAAGAUAAAGAGAGAGAUUUUUGUACAUAUAAAUAAAAAAAGGGAUUAAAUUUAUCAUAUAUUAUAUUUUUAAAAUUAU
This is a long non-coding RNA of Leptidea sinapis, 648 nucleotides long. RefSeq lists it as uncharacterized. The record is from RefSeq and is a predicted model, not a curated record. The transcript is spliced from 2 exons. NCBI's taxonomy places the organism in Eukaryota, Metazoa, Arthropoda, Insecta, Lepidoptera, Pieridae.